UUUGAUCCUGGCUCAGAACGAACGCUGGCGGCAUGCCUAACACAUGCAAGUCGAACGAAGUCUUCGGACUUAGUGGCGCACGGGUGCGUAACGCGUGGGAAUCUGCCCUUGGGUACGGAAUAACUCAGAGAAAUUUGUGCUAAUACCGUAUAAUGUCUUCGGACCAAAGAUUUAUCGCCCAAGGAUGAGCCCGCGUAAGAUUAGCUAGUUGGUGGGGUAAAAGCCUACCAAGGCGACGAUCUUUAGCUGGUCUGAGAGGAUGAUCAGCCACACUGGGACUGAGACACGGCCCAGACUCCUACGGGAGGCAGCAGUGGGGAAUAUUGGACAAUGGGCGAAAGCCUGAUCCAGCAAUGCCGCGUGAGUGAUGAAGGCCUUAGGGUUGUAAAGCUCUUUUAACCCGGGAUGAUAAUGACAGUACCGGGAGAAU
This 430-nucleotide ribosomal RNA is filed under the name Sphingopyxis sp. S25. Its description in RNAcentral is "bacterial SSU rRNA". It matches the Rfam family "Bacterial small subunit ribosomal RNA", at positions 12 to 487 of the family's 1533-position model. The record is from RNAcentral. Lineage: Bacteria; Pseudomonadati; Pseudomonadota; Alphaproteobacteria; Sphingomonadales; Sphingopyxidaceae.